Molecule: long non-coding RNA, 1241 nt
Organism: Ailuropoda melanoleuca (giant panda)
Lineage: Eukaryota; Metazoa; Chordata; Mammalia; Carnivora; Ursidae
Exons: 3
Source: RefSeq, a predicted model, not a curated record
GCCCACGUGAUGCGCUGGCGGCCGUAGGACUGGUUGCACCGUGAGGGUUUCCUGGGCUGGGGGCGCCGGCGGGGCAGCGAGGUUGAGGCUCGCGAGAAGCGGGAAGCGGAAAGCAGGACCGGGUCCGGUUGUAGACAGGGACCAAAAGGCCGAGGGUCGGCUGCCAUUAGUCUCUGCAGGCCUCCCGAGAUAGGGCGUAGGAGCUUGAGGAGUUCAGAAAGCGGGCUGCGGACUCCUGUCUCGGUCUUUGGUUUGAGCCCUGGCUUCGGCCUUACUCGUAUUUCCCAGCAAGGACGGCUCCUCUCAGUCUUUGCUGAAGUUCGGGGUUGGACUUUAUUAUUAUUCAUUUAUUAUUAUUAAUUAUUAUUAUUAUUUUUUUUCCCACUGUAUGUAUUAUUUUAUUAUUAUUAUUUCCCCCCCCUGUAUGUAAGCACUGGCUGUCCUGCGCGGAGCGCCGUGCAGCAGCCAUGAGGUAAAAGCUUGGGUGGGGGCUGGGACUUAGAGAUGCUUGAGGUAUGUUCUUUACCCACCUGCAAUGUUGGAGAGAGACAGCCAGCGAGAGAGGGAACACAGCAGGGGAGUGGGAGAGGAAGAAGCAGGCUCCCAGCGGAGGAGCCUGAUGUGGGACUCGAUCCCAGAACACCGGGAUCACGCCCUGAGCCGAAGGCAGACGCUUAACGACUGCGCUACCCAGGCGCCCCUAAACCUCAUAUUUAGCUGGUAGUGGAAACAUGUAAAUCUGGUUAAGGUGAAAAAUCUGGCUUUGAUAUCUUCGUGGAGGACUACAUUAUUUCCAUCCUGAAUCUGGUUCAGUUUUCUUAUGGACUGAUUACUGUAUUAAAAAUGUUUAAUUAACUAUGGUGUUUGUUUUGAUAAAACCUUGCAACUUAACGAGAACUUUAACAAAUAUUAUUUCUUCUUAUGGUACAGAAAAAUGUUAAUAUUUUCAAAUCCGUAGGUUAUUCCAUUUCAAAAUUUAAUUUUAUCAACUUUGCACUAUCAGAGAAUGUGCUUUUUGAAUUGCUAAAUGAGUUAAAAUAUUAGAAAACACCUAUCUCAGCAGAGGCCCUUAAAUUAUUUUCAUCCUUCCACUAUCCAUAUAUUUUCACCAACCUGACAAUCCCAGGGCAUGAAUUUUACUGCAUAAGCAAUCUAAGUGUUUCUGUAGUAUUUCUAAUACAGGAUCUUUCACACAAGCUGAAUUCUUGCUGUUGGAGUAGAGGUUUUUUUCCUACAAGUAU